This 30-nucleotide non-coding RNA is filed under the name Rattus norvegicus (Norway rat). The record is from RNAcentral. Lineage: Eukaryota; Metazoa; Chordata; Mammalia; Rodentia; Muridae.
UGCAAUUGGUGAUCACAUGCCAUGUAGUGC